UUUUUUUUAACCAUGGGGUUUUACAUCUACUUUUUUUCUUUUAGGUUGCUGCUGGUGGGAAGACUGAGAGCAGCUCUAUCUCAGAUCAGAACUACACAGGGACAAUAUUUUCAGUCUGUGAUAGAAACUAUGACCUGGAAAUCAACACACUCAAACGUGACCAAAACUAACCAAGUCUCUCUGAGAUGAUCUGCUGCCUCCACUGAGCUUGGGAACAGCAAGUGCAAACAAUUUAGAAAAGAAUGGUAAUUCCCUAAAGCCUCAAAUUGUUCUCUGUUUCUGAAUUGGUCUCUGGCAGUGCUAAUGCCUCCCAUGGUAGGGGGGAUGGCAGCCUAAGGAAGCACAUCUUCCUGAGCUCCCUCUUGAGCAAAGGGAUGGGAACAGCCUCCCCCAGAAGGCAGCCAGGAGCACCCAAAGCUUGG
This 422-nucleotide long non-coding RNA is filed under the name Zonotrichia albicollis (white-throated sparrow). RNAcentral's name for it is "lncRNA (ENSZALG00000014053.1)". Lineage: Eukaryota; Metazoa; Chordata; Aves; Passeriformes; Passerellidae. The record is from RNAcentral.